CACGUAGGGCGCAAGCGUUGUCCGGAAUUAUUGGGCGUAAAGAGCUCGUAGGCGGUCUGUUACGUCUGCUGUGAAAACCCUGGGCUUAACCCUGGGCUUGCAGUGGAUACGGGCAGACUAGAGGCAGGUAGGGGAGAAUGGAAUUCCCGGUGUAGCGGUGAAAUGCGCAGAUAUCGGGAGGAACACCGGUGGCGAAGGCGGUUCUCUGGGCCGAUACUGACGCUGAGGAGCGAAAGCGUGGGGAGCGAACAGG
This 253-nucleotide ribosomal RNA is filed under the name uncultured bacterium. RNAcentral's name for it is "partial 16S ribosomal RNA". It matches the Rfam family "Bacterial small subunit ribosomal RNA", at positions 524 to 776 of the family's 1533-position model. The record is from RNAcentral.